ACUCCUACGGGAGGCAGCAGUGGGGAAUAUUGCACAAUGGGCGCAAGCCUGAUGCAGCAACGCCGCGUGAGGGACGACGGCCUUCGGGUUGUAAACCUCUUUUAGUAGGGAAGAAGCGAAAGUGACGGUACCUGCAGAAAAAGCACCGGCUAACUACGUGCCAGCAGCCGCGGUAAUACGUAGGGUGCAAGCGUUAUCCGGAAUUAUUGGGCGUAAAGAGCUCGUAGGCGGUUUGUCGCGUCUGCUGUGAAAACUGGAGGCUCAACCUCCAGCCUGCAGUGGGUACGGGCAGACUAGAGUGCGGUAGGGGAGAUUGGAAUUCCUGGUGUAGCGGUGGAAUGCGCAGAUAUCAGGAGGAACACCGAUGGCGAAGGCAGAUCUCUGGGCCGUAACUGACGCUGAGGAGCGAAAGCAUGGGGAGCGAACAGGAUUAGAUACCCUGGUAGUCCAUGCCGUAAACGUUGGGAACUAGAUGUAGGGGCCAUUCCACGGUUUCUGUGUCGCAGCUAACGCAUUAAGUUCCCCGCCUGGGGAGUACGGCCGCAAGGCUAAAACUCAAAGGAAUUGACGGGGGCCCGCACAAGCGGCGGAGCAUGCGGAUUAAUUCGAUGCAACGCGAAGAACCUUACCAAGGCUUGACAUAUACCGGAAAAGUUCAGAAAUGUUCUCCCCGCAAGGUCGGUAUACAGGUGGUGCAUGGUUGUCGUCAGCUCGUGUCGUGAGAUGUUGGGUUAAGUCCCGCAACGAGCGCAACCCUCGUUCUAUGUUGCCAGCACGUAAUGGUGGGAACUCAUAGGAGACUGCCGGGGUCAACUCGGA
This 819-nucleotide ribosomal RNA is filed under the name uncultured Actinomycetes bacterium. RNAcentral's name for it is "bacterial SSU rRNA". It matches the Rfam family "Bacterial small subunit ribosomal RNA", at positions 335 to 1167 of the family's 1533-position model. Lineage: Bacteria; Bacillati; Actinomycetota; Actinomycetes. The record is from RNAcentral.